RNAcentral lists this ribosomal RNA (1405 nucleotides) under uncultured organism. Its description in RNAcentral is "16S ribosomal RNA". It matches the Rfam family "Bacterial small subunit ribosomal RNA", at positions 93 to 1451 of the family's 1533-position model. The record is from RNAcentral.
GAGUGGCGCACGGGUGAGUAACGCGUGGUGUAAUCUACCUUCGAAUCGGGGAUAACACUUCGAAAGGGGUGCUAAUACCGGAUGACGUCCACGAGGCUUUGGCUUUGUGGAUCAAAGAUGGCCUCUCCAUGGAAGCUGUUGUUCGGAGAUGAGCCCGCGUCCCAUUAGCUUGUUAGUGGGGUAAAGGCCCACCAUAGUGCGACGAUGGGUAGCUGGUCUGAGAGGAUGAUCAGUCACACUGGCACUGACACCACGGGCCAGACUCCUACGGGAGGCAGCAGUGAGGAAUUUUGCGCCAUGGGGGAAGCCCUGACGCAGCAACGCCGCGUGAGUGAAGGAGGCCUUCGGGUCGUAAAGCUCUGUCGAGUGGGAAGACCCGCAUCAGGUGACAAGUCUGAUGCGCUUGACGGUACCACUGGAGGAAGCCACCGGCUAACUCCGUGCCAGCAGGCGCGGUAAUACCGGAGGGUGCAAGCGUUAUUCGGACAUACUUGGGCGUAAAGGGCGGCGCAAGCGGCUGGAUAAGUCAGUAGUGAAAAGCCAGGGCUCAAACCUGUAAGUUGCUGCUUGAAACUGUUUAGCUUUGAAUUUGGUACACGGAAGUUGGAUUCCUGGGUGUAGCGCGGAAACUGCGUACGAUACUCCGGAAGAACCACCGGUUGGCGAACGCGGGUUCCUUGGACCAUUACUGAACGCUGAGGCGCGAAGGCGUGGGUAGCAAACAGGAUUAGAUACCCUGGUAGUCCACGCAGUAAACGGUGAUCACUAGGUGUUGCGGGUAUUGAUACCUGCAGUGCCGGAGCUAACGCAUUAAGUGAUCCGCCUGGGGAGUACGGCCGCAAGGUUAAAACUCAAAGGAAUUGACGGGGGCCCGCACAAGCGGUGGAGCAUGUGGUUUAAUUCGACGCAACGCGAAGAACCUUACCUGGGUUUGACAUCUGGGGAAUGCCUGUGAAAGCAGACAGUGCCUUUCGGGGAGCCCCAAGACAGGUGCUGCAUGGCUGUCGUCAGCUCGUGUCGUGAGAUGUUGGGUUAAGUCCCGCAACGAGCGCAACCCCUGUCUUCAGUUACCAGCAAUUCGGUUGGGGACUCUGAAGAUACUGCCCCGGUUAACGGGGAGGAAGGUGGGGAUGACGUCAAGUCCUCAUGGCCUUUAUGCCCAGGGCUACACACGUGCUACAAUGGGCGGUACAGAGGGUAGCGAGAUCGCGAGAUGGAGCCAAUCCCAAAAAGCCGUCCUCAGUUCGGAUUGGAGUGUGCAACUCGACUCCAUGAAGUUGGAAUCGCUAGUAAUCGCGGAUCAGCAUGCCGCGGUGAUACGUUCCCGGGCCUUGUACACACCGCCCGUCACACCAUGAGAGUUGGCUAUACCGCGAAGUCGCCGGCCCAACCUGUAGAGGGGGGA